UACGGGGGGGGCGAGCGUUGUUCGGAAUUACUGGGCGUAAAGGGCUUGUAGGCGGCCAACUAAGUCCGACGUGAAAUCCCCAGGCUUAACCUGGGAACUGCGUCGGAUACUGGAUGGCUUGAAUUCGGGAGAGGGAUGCAGAAUUCCAGGUGUAGCGGUGAAAUGCGUAGAUAUCUGGAGGAAUACCGGUGGCGAAGGCGGCAUCCUGGACCGACAUUGACGCUGAGGAGCGAAAGCUAGGGGAGCAAACGGG
Molecule: ribosomal RNA, 253 nt
Filed under: uncultured bacterium
Lineage: Bacteria
Description: partial 16S ribosomal RNA
Rfam family: Bacterial small subunit ribosomal RNA
Source: RNAcentral